GGGAAAGUGGCUCAGUGGUAGAGAGCUUGCCUUGCAUGCAUGAGGCCCUGGGUUCAAUUCCUCAGCACCA
Non-coding RNA from Dipodomys ordii (Ord's kangaroo rat), 70 nucleotides. The record is from Rfam. Lineage: Eukaryota; Metazoa; Chordata; Mammalia; Rodentia; Heteromyidae.